AUGAUGCCGGGGAGGCAAACACCUCGACAUGAGCGACGCCUGGGCUGUGCUCCAAGCCGUGAUACACGAACCGUGUGGCUCAUCCCACAGGUUAUUCCCCCAAAGGUGCCAGCUCCUGAAAGCCUGGGCUUUGCCCAAGGAGGUCACCACUGUGGGGCUUCUCCUGAGAUAUCUGGUCUCCUUCAAAGUGGCAUCCACAGGAGGGGGUCGUCCCUUCAACACAGAGUAAUUCUGCCUGGAGGCUAUUUAGUGAAGAGCCUUGCUGGUUUUGGGCCCACUGGAAACUAUUUAUCACUGUUUACAGAAGAGAAAAGCCGAGCCACCAGAUUAGCAACCAAAUCCAAGGCUGAUUUCAAAGUACAUUCUCCGAUAGAACAAUACACAUCUUUCCAAUUCAGGGAUGGGAGUGGAUACCUGAGUAAAACAUCACUGUCAAAAGGCAGCCUGACUCUCACCAACUGUGAGGACAAAAAGAAUAUGCAUACCUUCCAGAAGAAAACACUGUAGCUAGGCCUCAAAGGUUCAUUAUCAAAUGAUUUCCAUGAGGUCGUGAGGUUUCCAGCAGUGAACGGAGCAUCUCAGCCUUGGUUUCACUAAGGAGAGAUGGGCCUAGGUGCACAAGGAUCUGUCAUGUGCAAUUGUGUUUACUUGUGCCUGUUUGCUAACCUCCAGCUUCG
RNAcentral lists this long non-coding RNA (677 nucleotides) under Lepidothrix coronata (blue-crowned manakin). RNAcentral describes it as "lncRNA (ENSLCOG00000010431.1)". Lineage: Eukaryota; Metazoa; Chordata; Aves; Passeriformes; Pipridae. The record is from RNAcentral.